GGUUCUAUAGUGUAGUGGUAAUCACAUCUGCUUUACACGCAGAAGGUCCUGGGUUCAAUCCCCAGUGGAACCA
Oreochromis niloticus (Nile tilapia) is the source of this 73-nucleotide non-coding RNA. The record is from Rfam. NCBI's taxonomy places the organism in Eukaryota, Metazoa, Chordata, Actinopteri, Cichliformes, Cichlidae.